RNAcentral lists this long non-coding RNA (1234 nucleotides) under Salvia miltiorrhiza (redroot sage). RNAcentral's name for it is "long non-coding RNA (SMIL_LNC010263)". Lineage: Eukaryota; Viridiplantae; Streptophyta; Magnoliopsida; Lamiales; Lamiaceae. The record is from RNAcentral.
ACAAAUACUAUCCCACUUUAGAAUCUGAAAGUGCAGCGGAAAGUAAAGCAGCAAGGAACAGAGCAGAUUCAACAGGGAAAACACACGAUUUGUGACACACGUGCUAGCACAGGAUAAUCACUUAAGAUUACUCACAUAAGCACAACAAAAAACGCAAGUUGGUAAACAGCAACAAAGUCCCAAUCCUAGACUGCACCAGUUGGCAGUUUUCUAGAAAUUUAGAUUGCAACCUAUGCUGCGCCAGUCGGCAGCCUCUAGGAAUUAAACAACAGGGAGGUUUCGCCAAUUUACCAGAGCGAGGCUUAAGAUCAAAACCUCGUCAUACCUGCGGCGAUCUGGAUCGCUGAUUAAGGAGAGCCACGGCGCGGAGGGUGCGACAGCGAGGCUAGCGAGGCUCUGAUACCACUGUUGUGGAUAUCUCGCCCCGCCGUCGAUUCACCGUUCUCGCACGCCGAAGCCUAAUUUUAGUAAUCUUUCCUGAAGCUCAGCUGCACUCGGAACUCUUGCGAAGACCACGCACACGUUAGCUCACUGAUUGUUCGAGCUAGACGUGCUCUUUAGUUUCCUACACAAAGAGAAAACACCAAGAGACUAAGUUAGAAGGUGCAGCUGCAACAGAGAGAUAAAGUAACAGGAAAUAGAAGAGGUGGGGCAGCUGAGUGGCUGCCCGGAAACGGAGCAGCAGCGGCUGUCCGGAAACGACGCGGAGCAGCUGUCGGAGACGACGCAGCCACAGCUGGCAAGACGACGCAGCAGCGGCAGAUGGCGAGACGACGCAGCAGCAGCAGUUGGCGAGACGACGCAGCAGCAGCAGUUGGUGAGACGACGCAGCAGCGACUCUCUCCUCGGCUCAGAACUCGGUCUCUCUCAAACCCAAAUGUAGUCCUCCUCCGGCAGCACCUCGUUCCGGCAACUCCACUGCCAAAUCACCCUCAACCUCACUCAGGCUAAUCCACACAGAGAUAGCUCAGUUCGGACGAAGAAGACACACACAAGCACUAAGCUUGUUCACACUUCGCCCAAGACACGGAGAUGACAGGAGGUAUGGUGAAGGUACAGGCAAGGCUUCUCUCUUUCACACAGAAGACGCAGAGGGAAGGGAGGAGAGAACGAGAGAUAGGUUAUCAGCUAGGGUUCCACAAUUUAACCAAGGAAGAUGGGCUGCCAGUUGUGGGCUAGGUGAUGGUAAUGGGCUACCAGGAAUGGGCUUGAUUGGGCCAACAAUUUCAACAUG